CUACGGGCCGCUCCAGUGGGGAAUAUUGGACAAUGGGGGCAACCCUGAUCCAGCCAUGCCGCGUGUGUGAAGAAGGCCUUUUGGUUGUAAAGCACUUUAAGCAGGGAGGAGAGGCUAAUGGUUAAUACCCAUUAGAUUAGACGUUACCUGCAGAAUAAGCACCGGCUAACUCUGUGCCAGCAGCCGCGGUAAUACAGAGGGUGCGAGCGUUAAUCGGAAUUACUGGGCGUAAAGCGAGUGUAGGUGGCUCAUUAAGUCACAUGUGAAAUCCCCGGGCUUAACCUGGGAACUGCAUGUGAUGCUGGUGGUGCUAGAAUAUGUGAGAGGGAAGUAGAAUUCCAGGUGUAGCGGUGAAAUGCGUAGAGAUCUGGAGGAAUACCGAUGGCGAAGGCAGCUUCCUGGCAUAAUAUUGACACUGAGAUUCGAAAGCGUGGGUAGCAAACAGGAUUAGAUACCCGCGUAGUC
This 465-nucleotide ribosomal RNA is filed under the name uncultured bacterium. RNAcentral describes it as "partial 16S ribosomal RNA". It matches the Rfam family "Bacterial small subunit ribosomal RNA", at positions 339 to 795 of the family's 1533-position model. The record is from RNAcentral.